Molecule: long non-coding RNA, 644 nt
Filed under: Trifolium pratense (red clover)
Lineage: Eukaryota; Viridiplantae; Streptophyta; Magnoliopsida; Fabales; Fabaceae
Description: long non-coding RNA (TPRA_LNC006399)
Source: RNAcentral
CCAAGAAGAUAAUUCUAUUGGUUCCCAAAACCAAGUGUAAAGGAUCACACCCACCACCAAAUCAAGUGAAUCGAAGUUAGAAUUGAUGAACACUAAACAUCAAGUACAAAAUCAAAACACAAAAACCCAAUUAAACAAAACUCACCAUACUGUUCACAAUUCAAUCUUCAACUAUCUACCUGUUAAAAAACACAAAUUUCCAAUCAUAAAUUGCAUUGACACAAAAUCAAGAUCUUCAACCCUCAAAAUACACAAAUCAAGAUCAUUGGGUCUCUAAUAUGACACUCAAAAUCAAUUUUUUCCUAAACUAUGAAAAGAUCGUAGUUAUCCCCUCCAAAACCCUAAAAAACAAAAUCAAAACGAAAUUGAAGAAAUACCUGUAGCGUGCGAUCACGCGGAUAAGUUUUGAGAAUGCAAAUCAAUGAAAGGAAAGAGUAGAGGAAUUGAAGAAAAGCAUGAUUUGAAGUAAAUCAAUAGCUGAGUUAACCCUAACAGUAAACACGUCGGAGGAAGAUGGAGUUGCGGUGGCUUCUUCUCUUUCUCCUGAAUUUCCAAUGUUUAAACGCCUUGUCGUUUUUAACUCAGUGUGAAAAUGUGAAUGCUUUUCUUUUUUCUUUUCCAAAUUGAAAGAAAGUUAUUUUUUU